AGGUUGCUGCGUCAAAGCGCUUAAAGGGACUGGUAACUAUGGCGGGUCCAGAUGUCAUUUGUGUCGGAGCAGGCAAAGAAUGUCAGGAAGUUUUAAAGUUUAAAUCAGUGACAUUCAGAUCUUAAACAUAAAUACGGUCGUUUCUACCCACAAUCAAGAAAUAUGUGCCUUAUCCCAUUUAAACGUUUGAGUCCCAGGGGACGUUGAGAUAACAGUGUCGAAAAAUGCCGAACAUCGCAACAGCGCUGUUUUAAUCGAGUGCGAAGGAAGCCAAGCGGCGCGGUAGCGCUCGCUUUUUUAAUAUCUCUAAGAGCACCGUCAGUUGUCCAUACUGUUCAAAUGUACUGAGCUUUUCGACAUGAAAUGUAGUCAACGUGAAUGCGUAUGUAUGUACAGUAAACAUCACCACAUUACAAAAAUUACAUCAGACCUAUUAGAGAA
Molecule: long non-coding RNA, 441 nt
Organism: Orussus abietinus
Lineage: Eukaryota; Metazoa; Arthropoda; Insecta; Hymenoptera; Orussidae
Exons: 2
Source: RefSeq, a predicted model, not a curated record